UGCCCUUGGCUUGGCUGUUCCGCAGGCCGUCGCUCUCCAUUGUCCCUGCGGCGCGACUCGCCCUCCGCCUCCUGCACCCUCGGUUAAGAAGGGGCCAGCCAGCUGCCCGAGCCCCGCCUCCCUCGCCUCCUGGCUUGGCGAGCUUCCCUCCGGCGGCUCGGCGCGGGGAGGUAAGGGACUCUGCGCGCCGGAUUCAUGGUUUCCUGUCUCCUUCCUACCCCACCGCCACCGCCGCCCCCAACCUCCGCGGGAUUCGGGUGGCUUUCCUUUCCAAUGCGCAUUUCUAUGACUGUUCCUCUGGCACGCGUCCUCCCCACGAGGUCCUUCUGAAGGAGAUUUAGAACUCAAGGCGGCUUGCACGGUCCUCUUCCUCCUCUCCAUUUUAUCUUCACAACAACCCUGUGAGGACAAUAAAAUGGCAAUCUUCUUUGUACUGGCAAAAAAAUGAAAUAAAAUUAGUUUGGUCUACAUCAGGGAUGAGCAACGUGCAUCCCUUGGUAUAAUUUCAUGGGGCCUUCAGCCUAAUUUCAAAAGCCUUCUGCAUGCGAUCAGUUUGGGCAAAAGUGAUCAGUCCCGUCCC
Elgaria multicarinata webbii is the source of this 580-nucleotide long non-coding RNA. RefSeq lists it as uncharacterized. The transcript is spliced from 3 exons. Lineage: Eukaryota; Metazoa; Chordata; Lepidosauria; Squamata; Anguidae. The record is from RefSeq and is a predicted model, not a curated record.